GAGCUUGCUCCCUGAGAUCAGCGGCGGACGGGUGAGUAACACGUGGGUAACCUGCCUGUAAGACUGGGAUAACUCCGGGAAACCGGGGCUAAUACCGGAUAACACCUACCCCCGCAUGGGGGAAGGUUGAAAGGUGGCUUCGGCUAUCACUUACAGAUGGACCCGCGGCGCAUUAGCUAGUUGGUGAGGUAAUGGCUCACCAAGGCGACGAUGCGUAGCCGACCUGAGAGGGUGAUCGGCCACACUGGGACUGAGACACGGCCCAGACUCCUACGGGAGGCAGCAGUAGGGAAUCUUCCGCAAUGGACGAAAGUCUGACGGAGCAACGCCGCGUGAGUGAAGAAGGUUUUCGGAUCGUAAAACUCUGUUGUUAGGGAAGAACAAGUGCCGUUCGAAUAGGGCGGCGCCUUGACGGUACCUAACCAGAAAGCCACGGCUAACUACGUGCCAGCAGCCGCGGUAAUACGUAGGUGGCAAGCGUUGUCCGGAAUUAUUGGGCGUAAAGCGCGCGCAGGUGGUUUCUUAAGUCUGAUGUGAAAGCCCACGGCUCAACC
Molecule: ribosomal RNA, 554 nt
Filed under: Bacillus sp. (in: firmicutes)
Lineage: Bacteria; Bacillati; Bacillota; Bacilli; Caryophanales; Bacillaceae
Description: bacterial SSU rRNA
Rfam family: Bacterial small subunit ribosomal RNA
Source: RNAcentral